This 21-nucleotide non-coding RNA is filed under the name Caenorhabditis elegans. Lineage: Eukaryota; Metazoa; Nematoda; Chromadorea; Rhabditida; Rhabditidae. The record is from RNAcentral.
UGUAUAGAUUCAUUUAUCAAU